GUGGUGCACCAGGCGCGAAAACUUUACAAUGCAGGCAACAGCGAUAAGGGGACCUCGAGUGCCAGGUUACAAAUCUGGCUGUCGUGAUGCCUAAAAAGCAUUGCAUAGCAAGGGCCGGGCAAGACCGGUGCCAGCCGCCGCGGUAACACCGGCGGCUCGAGUGGUAACCGUUAUUAUUGGGUCUAAAGGGUCUGUAGCCGGCCGGAUAAGUCUCUUGGGAAAUCCAGCAGCUCAACUGUUGGGCUUUCAGGAGAUACUGUCUGGCUCGAGGCCGGGAGAGGUGAGAGGUACUUCAGGGGUAGGGGUGAAAUCUUGUAAUCCUUGAAGGACCACCAGUGGCGAAGGCGUCUCACCAGAACGGACCUGACGGCAAGGGACGAAAGCUAGGGGCACGAACCGGAUUAGAUACCCGGGUAGUCCUAGCCGUAAACGAUACUCGCUAGGUGUCGGCCACGGUGCGGCCGUUGUCGGUGCCGUAGGGAAGCCGUGAAGCGAGCCACCUGGGAAGUACGGCCGCAAGGCUGAAACUUAAAGGAAUUGGCGGGGGAGCAC
This 552-nucleotide ribosomal RNA is filed under the name uncultured archaeon. RNAcentral's name for it is "bacterial SSU rRNA". It matches the Rfam family "Archaeal small subunit ribosomal RNA", at positions 327 to 879 of the family's 1478-position model. The record is from RNAcentral.